RNAcentral lists this ribosomal RNA (887 nucleotides) under uncultured bacterium. Its description in RNAcentral is "bacterial SSU rRNA". It matches the Rfam family "Bacterial small subunit ribosomal RNA", at positions 99 to 997 of the family's 1533-position model. The record is from RNAcentral.
CGAACGGUCGCGCAACACGUAAGCAACCUGCCCUAAAGUUGGGGAUAGCCCUCCGAAAGGAGGAUUAAUACCGAAUGUGGACAUAUUUUCGCAUGUUUAUAUGUCUAGAGCAGCGAUGCGCUUUAGGAUGGGCUUGCGGCCUAUCAGCUAGUUGGUGUGGGUAACGGCCUACCAAGGCGACGACGGGUAGCUGGUCUGAGAGGAUGGUCGGCCGGAUUGGGACUGAGACACGGCCCAGACUCCUACGGGGGGCAGCAAUUAGGAAUCUUGCGCAAUGGGCGAAAGCCUGACGCAGCGACGCCGCGUGACUGAUGAAGUCUUUCGGGAUGUAAAGGUCUUUUGCAGGGGACGAAGGAAGUGACGGUACCCUGCGAAUAAGCCCCGGCUAACUACGUGCCAGCAGCCGCGGUAAUACGUAGGGGGCGAGCGUUGUCCGAAUUCACUGGGCGUAAAGCGCGCGUAGGCGGGUUUUUAAGUUGUGGGUGAAAUUCCGAGGCUCAACCUCGUAACUGCCUGCAAAACUGGGAGCCUUGAGGUAUGGAGAGGGAAGUGGAAUCCCUGGUGUAGCGGUGAAAUGCGUAGAUAUCAGGAGGAACACCCGUGGCGAAGGCGGCUUCCUGGCCAUAUCCUGACACUGAGGUGCGAAAGCUAGGGUAGCGAACGGGAUUAGAUACCCCGGUAGUCCUAGCCGUAAACGAUGGAUACUAGGUGUUAGAGGUAUCGACCCCUCUAGUGCCGCAGCUAACGCAUUAAGUAUCCCGCCCGGGGAGUACGACCGCAAGGUUGAAACUCAAAGGAAUUGACGGGGGCCCGCACAAGCGGUGGAGCAUGUGGUUUAAUACGUCACUAACCGUAGAACCUUACCCAGGCUUGACAUCUAGGGAAUC